CGCGGCCUAUCAGCUUGUUGGUGAGGUAACGGCUCACCAAGGCAACGACGGGUAGCUGGUCUGAGAGGACGAUCAGCCACACUGGGACUGAGACACGGCCCAGACUCCUACGGGAGGCAGCAGCAGGGAAUAUUGCACAAUGGGCGCAAGCCUGAUGCAGCGACGCCGCGUGAGGGAUGAAGGCCCUCGGGUUGUAAACCUCUUUCAGGAGGGACGAAGCGAAAGUGACGGUACCUCCAGAAGAAGCCCCGGCCAACUACGUGCCAGCAGCCGCGGUAAUACGUGGGGGGCGAGCGUUGUCCGGAUUCAUUGGGCGUAAAGAGCUCGUAGGCGGCUCAGUAAGUCGGCCGUGAAAGCCCGGAGCUCAACUCCGGGACGCCGGUCGAUACUGCUGUGGCUAGGGUCCGGUAGAGGAGAGUGGAAUUCCCGGUGUAGCGGUGAAAUGCGCAGAUAUCGGGAGGAACACCAGUAGCGAAGGCGGCUCUCUGGGCCGGUACCGACGCUGAGGAGCGAAAGCUAGGGGAGCAAACAGGAUUAGAUACCCUGGUAGUCCUAGCCGUAAACGUUGGGCACUAGGUGUGGCGGAUUCAUUGACAUCUGCCGUGCCGGCGCUAACGCAUUAAGUGCCCCGCCUGGGGAGUACGG
Molecule: ribosomal RNA, 645 nt
Filed under: uncultured bacterium
Lineage: Bacteria
Description: bacterial SSU rRNA
Rfam family: Bacterial small subunit ribosomal RNA
Source: RNAcentral